Non-coding RNA from Taeniopygia guttata (zebra finch), 285 nucleotides. Lineage: Eukaryota; Metazoa; Chordata; Aves; Passeriformes; Estrildidae. The record is from RefSeq and is a predicted model, not a curated record.
UCUACUGUUAUGCUGCUAACCGCAGCAAUGCCCACCUUGGCAGCCAGGGAAACACUACUCUCACAUCAAGUAAAGGCAAGCUGUAGAGAUUCAGAAUUUCCCUUUCCUCUGAACUUGCAAAACCAAAACAAGACAAGAACUGGCUUCAUGGGAACUUCCUGUUCCUGUGCUGGACCCAUCCUUAACACUUGUCCAAGUGCUUCAGGAAUGCAGCAAGAACACUUACCCGAACACCCAGCACUGAGUUCCCACUCUCUUGCACUGUGUGUCUGUGAGGUAAGCAUA